GAUGAACGCUGGCGGCGUGCCUAAUACAUGCAAGUCGAGCGAACCACUUCGGUGGUGAGCGGCGAACGGGUGAGUAACACGUAGGUUAUCUGCCCAUCAGACGGGGACAACGAUUGGAAACGAUCGCUAAUACCGGAUAGGACGAAAGUUUAAAGGUGCUUCGGCACCACUGAUGGAUGAGCCUGCGGCGCAUUAGCUAGUUGGUAGGGUAAAGGCCUACCAAGGCGACGAUGCGUAGCCGACCUGAGAGGGUGAACGGCCACACUGGGACUGAGACACGGCCCAGACUCCUACGGGAGGCAGCAGUAGGGAAUCUUCGGCAAUGGGCGAAAGCCUGACCGAGCAACGCCGCGUGAAUGAUGAAGGCCUUCGGGUUGUAAAAUUCUGUUAUAAGGGAAGAAUGGCUCUAGUAGGAAAUGGCUAGAGUGUGACGGUACCUUAUGAGAAAGCCACGGCUAACUACGUG
Molecule: ribosomal RNA, 466 nt
Filed under: uncultured bacterium
Lineage: Bacteria
Description: bacterial SSU rRNA
Rfam family: Bacterial small subunit ribosomal RNA
Source: RNAcentral